GGGAAUUCGAUUAACGCGAAGAACCUUACCAGGUCUUGACAUACUAUGCAAAUCUAAGAGAUUAGACGUUCCCUUCGGGGACAUGGAUACAGGUGGUGCAUGGUUGUCGUCAGCUCGUGUCGUGAGAUGUUGGGUUAAGUCCCGCAACGAGCGCAACCCUUAUUAUCAGUUGCCAGCAUUAAGUUGGGCACUCUGGUGAAACUGCCGGUGACAAACCGGAGGAAGGUGGGGAUGACGUCAAAUCAUCAUGCCCCUUAUGACCUGGGCUACACACGUGCUACAAUGGAUGGUACAACGAGUUGCGAACUCGCGAGAGUAAGCUAAUCUCUUAAAGCCAUUCUCAGUUCGGAUUGUAGGCUGCAACUCGCCUACAUGAAGUCGGAAUCGCUAGUAAU
This 395-nucleotide ribosomal RNA is filed under the name uncultured bacterium. Its description in RNAcentral is "bacterial SSU rRNA". It matches the Rfam family "Bacterial small subunit ribosomal RNA", at positions 943 to 1342 of the family's 1533-position model. The record is from RNAcentral.